Molecule: ribosomal RNA, 253 nt
Filed under: uncultured bacterium
Lineage: Bacteria
Description: partial 16S ribosomal RNA
Rfam family: Bacterial small subunit ribosomal RNA
Source: RNAcentral
UACGAAGGGGGCUAGCGUUGCUCGGAAUGACUGGGCGUAAAGGGCGCGUAGGCGGCUCAUACAGUCAGAUGUGAAAUUCCUGGGCUUAACCUGGGGGCUGCAUUUGAUACGUGUGGGCUUGAGUGGGGAAGAGGGUCGUGGAAUUCCCAGUGUAGAGGUGAAAUUCGUAGAUAUUGGGAAGAACACCGGUGGCGAAGGCGGCACUCUGGACCGAUACUGACGCUGAGGCGCGAAAGCGUGGGGAGCAAACAGG